Molecule: ribosomal RNA, 372 nt
Filed under: uncultured organism
Description: bacterial SSU rRNA
Rfam family: Bacterial small subunit ribosomal RNA
Source: RNAcentral
CGUAGGUGACAAGCGUUGUCCGGAUUUACUGGGCGUAAAGAGCGCGCAGGCGGUCGUGCAAGUCGAGUGUGAAAGCCCCCGGCUCAACUGGGGAGGGUCACUCGAUACUGUUCGACUCGAAGGCAGGAGAGGGAAGCGGAAUUCCCGGUGUAGUGGUGAAAUGCGUAGAUAUCAGGAGGAACACCAGUGGCGAAGGCGGCUUCCUGGCCUGUUCUUGACGCUGAGGCGCGAAAGCUAGGGGAGCAAACGGGAUUAGAUACCCCGGUAGUCCUAGCUGUAAACGAUGGACACUAGGUGUUGGCGGUAUCAACCCCGCCAGUGCCGAAGCUAACGCAUUAAGUGUCCCGCCUGGGGAGUACGGCCGCAAGGCUA